Tripterygium wilfordii is the source of this 3446-nucleotide long non-coding RNA. RefSeq lists it as uncharacterized. NCBI's taxonomy places the organism in Eukaryota, Viridiplantae, Streptophyta, Magnoliopsida, Celastrales, Celastraceae. The record is from RefSeq and is a predicted model, not a curated record. The transcript is spliced from 5 exons.
UGGCAAGCAAAAGCAAAAAAUCAUUUUUAGGCACAAAGAUGACCAUCCGAUUCCCAUCACGCACGAUUUCACGAAGACGAUCGUUUUCUUCGAUUCGUCGUGGUUUCCAAUCUCUUAAAUCUGCGUCUCCGACGUCGCUUUUGCUUUUAUUGUUUGAUGUAAUUGGUUUCUUGUUCAGUGGACGAAGCGUUACUGUUGGAUUUGUUAGUGGAUAAGGGGAUAGAGACAGGAGGACACUGGUACGCGUCGCACCGACAGGUCCGACAUCUGUACGCAUUGCAUGACAUAGAGAGAGCGAGAGUGUGUUGAAUGAAUGGAAGGGAUUGAUUCGGCGUUUUCUCUUCUCUUUUUCUCUGUGGCUACGAAUCAAACCCUAAUUUGUUGAUUUUUGGUAAGGGUGUCGUUUGGUUUUUCCAGAUCUGACCGACUCAUGCCUGCAAAAUUUUCUUUAGAUGCGGAUGCUUUCUUUUGAUCCUCUGAAGAAUUUGUCAUACACAGGUUUUCAGCAUGUGGAUUAAUUUAAAUUUUAAAGCAGUAACGUAUGUUUGUUUUGUCCAUUCGCAUGAUUUGUGUUUGUAUGUUACAGUUUUGUGGUUUUGGGAGCUUGACUUUUUUUUUAAACUACCCAAAUAAUUAAUAAUAAAUAACUGUUUUUGUAUCAUGGAUAAUAUGAUCUUCUAUAUCAUAGAAAGAUUUUAUUAUAUUAGUUUUUUUUCAAUAGAGAACAACACCGUACAAGCAUGUCUUUUGGACAUUCCAUAGUCAUAUGAGCCUAAAUUCAAGUCAUCAGGUCUGUGUACACAUAAGUUUCCCACAUAACGACAGGGUAAGUUGGGUCAAAGCAUAGUGCGUGGCCACAAGGGUAUUAACCCCAGUGGGAAUCGAACUCAAGACCUCCCGACUCUAUACGGUUUGACCUCAGAGAGAUUCAUCAGUUAGACUAUCAUCCAAGUGGUUUUACUAUAUUAGUUGCUAUAAGUAUAAAAUAGAUUACGCAUCCUUUAUAUAUCAUAAGCUGAUUAAUUAGUUUUUUUUUAUUGAUCCUCUAAUCUUAAGUUUCAGGUAUUGGCUGAAGAUUAGAUGAAACUAAUGAGACAAUGAGUUAUUAUAAAAAAAGCAAGGUGUAGGUGUCUAAUCAUACAAAAGGCCGGAAAAAAGGUAAGGUUGUCCUAAUAAACACCUAAUCUACUAAUAUAUGAAGUACUGCUCUAAUAAUUGGUUGUCAUUUUAACUACAGAUGUAAUUGUGUGUGGCUAGGUAUCUAAAUGACUGUUACUUAGGGAUUGUAUAUUAUUAAUGUCCUAGACAUUGUCAUCAUGUAUGUAGCUUCAAUAAUAAUCAAAUGCAUUAAGGUCAUGCAUUUUCACCCGACCCACUGGAUGCUGAAGUUGCCAAAGAUUAUUUCCUCCACUUGGUGCAUGCAUUAAUUCAUGGUUUCAACAAUCUUGAUGCAUUGUGUGCAACAUAUUGUUUCUUAUGAGGCUAUAAUAGAUGUAUGCACAAAAAAUUGGGUUUGUAAUUGGCUGAUAAUGUUGACACUUGACAUAGAGUUUGGACGUGCGGAUCUUUUAAGAGCUAUAGCAUCAAGACUUGUAGAUAUAAAUAAUUCAUUUUAAGAUGUUCAAACUUCAAAACUAUGACUUUUAUGGUCCUCUGAAAUUUCUUAUGAAGAAGGUUGAAGAUUUUUACUGUUGCUAUCAUAGAUUAUUUAAAUAUGGUUUAGUACUGUGCCAUGAAUAUGAUCAGUAGCUACAUGAGUUGAAACUAAUUAAUGGAAUCAUGAAACAAAAACUAGAAAUUGGAAAAAGAAGCUAGCUAUUGAUAAAUCUGGAAUUCAAGAAGAAUGUUUUUCUAAUGAAUUGACAUUUGACAUUUGACUUUGAUAAAAAAAAAACCAUCAAACUGAAAACCAUUUCAUUUUGGAACUUCCUCUAUGCUAUAAUAAUUUAAGUUUUAUUAUUUUCUUUGUGAUCCAAUCAAGCUAUUAUAGUAAUUGAGUAGAAAUAAACUAUCUUAUGAUUUGGUUUGCGUUACAUUCAUGUGUUGUUGAUGCUGGCUAGUUUUUACAAACCUGAAAUUUUCUCCACCUCACUUAUCAUUUACCUAAUUGACAUUGACAGGACAUAAUUAAGUUGAGGUACAACUUGCUUUGUGCAUUUUACAUUGCUUUCGGUGAAAGUAGUCCUAAGAUUGUUCCAAUGCUCAUUUUGCAGAGUCUAUCAUUUCUUGGUUCUAACAAGCACGGAUGGAAGCUCUAUAGUGACAUUUAUUGCAAAUAACAUCGCCAAAGAAAUUGAUAAUUUUCCUCGCUGCCCAGUUUAGCCUGCUUAAAAUUUAAUCUCAAACUAUGUUUUUUAAUCAAGAGAUUAUAUCGAAUGCAUCAUUAAUUAAUUUAAAUUGGGUAUUUCGACCUGUGUGGCUGGUUUAUUAUAGCUUGACAUGCCAAAACAUUGAAUGGAAAAUUAAAUUCUUUCGUUAUGGAAGUAUUUGCUACAUCAAUCUCUAAAUGGGAACGGUUAAUUUUUCAAUUCUUCAGUGGUUCAAAAAAAAUAAUGAGGAAGUGAAUGCGAUAAGUUAACGUGGUUUCAGUUUUUGGUAUAAUUUGUUUCUAAGGCUUGCAGUUUCUUCCCCUUUCAUGAUGUAUUUCUUCUUAUAUACAUCACUUUCACAGUAGCAUUGCCUUUUUGUCUCAUUUUGUAUGUCCAGGUACAACAAUUCUUUUUUGGAAGAUCGACAGAGCACUGAGGAAUUGUAAAUGAAUGGGGGAAGACUUGCUGUUUAUUACAUCUGAGCUAGUAAAAGGUACACUCCAUAAAAAGUCGAUUUCGUUGCAAAAUAGAAUCAGAGGUUGCUGUAAAAUAGGAACUCUUGAGUAGCAGUAAGGGUCUGGAAGAAGAAUCCAAUGGAUGGUCUCUUGGCUUAAUAAGGAUGUAUUGAUGAUGCUAAAGCAUAAAUGGACCAUUUUCAGAUUAAGACCAUUAUGCCAGCCCAUAUUUUUUGGAUAAACUCUUGGAUGCUGCUGCUUGAGGAUCAUUCAACUUGAGCAAUGUUGUUGAGAGUAAGCUAUUAUUUGCACCUCUUCUAUUGUAAUUCUUAUGUUUGAAGAAUGAAAUUGCAUGUAAAAGGUACAUAGACUAGCCAACUCUCAGAAAAUGUGCGCUCAAUGUUUUUUUAAUCUCAGUUUCUAUAGGGGCGGGGGAUCUAACCCGGAACAACUGAGGUAUAAACUAUAAAGCACGAGUCUUGCUGCAGUGGUAAGACUUCCCAAGGAACUUGCUCAAGUUGAAUGAUACGCGAGUAUGUUUAUUGAAGAACUUAAUGGUCAAGUUCUCAUUGGAUUCAUGAUGAACAAUCUGGUUUUGGGGCAGGAUAUUCUUGGUGAGAUGAUGGAUUCCUACUCACCCAUGAUGUGUACACACUUUAGUGUGUUUUCAAAGGGUUAUGGG